GGGAAAUGUGACUGUGGAAGAGAUGCACCGAGGCUGGCUUUAAAGAUGGAGGAAGGGCAUCAUGAGCCAAGGAAGAUGAAGGUCAUGGAGGUUUGCCCAUACCAGUGGGAAAUGUGGAGCUGGGACCCAAGGACAUCUUCUCAGCCAGCCACCGUGCAUGUGACUUCCCUGGUUGAUCCAGCCAACUGCAGGACCAAGAUAUUUCUAGUGCAAGAUAGGAGAGAUGAGUAAUAGAGACCACAGCCCUUGGAAACCUUGAUCAAGUAGAAUAAGAACACCUUCCUCAGCUCUCUUUGCAAGUGGCCAAAGCUUAGUGGCUCUGGGAGAAAAAUUCAACAGGAAAACCUACAGAAGUGCCUUGAGAAAGGACCACAGUAGCCUCUUCUAAGCCAAAUUGAGUAAAUAAAAAUGAGUGCUAUUAAAAUAUCCAAUUAAUC
RNAcentral lists this long non-coding RNA (437 nucleotides) under Equus caballus (horse). RNAcentral describes it as "lncRNA (ENSECAG00000038004.3)". The record is from RNAcentral. Lineage: Eukaryota; Metazoa; Chordata; Mammalia; Perissodactyla; Equidae.